Molecule: ribosomal RNA, 746 nt
Filed under: uncultured bacterium
Lineage: Bacteria
Description: bacterial SSU rRNA
Rfam family: Bacterial small subunit ribosomal RNA
Source: RNAcentral
AGUGGCGCAAGGGUGCGUAACACGUGGGCAAUCUACCGCAAAGACCGGAAUAACCUGCUGAAAAGUGGGCUAAUGCCGGAUGUUGUUUUCGGGGGGCAUCCCUUGAAACCAAAAGUUGGGGACCGAAAGGCCUGACGCUUUGCGAUGAGCCCGCGGCCUAUCAGCUAGUUGGCGAGGUAACGGCUCACCAAGGCUAAGACGGGUAGCUGGUCUGAGAGGACGACCAGCCACACUGGAACUGAGACACGGUCCAGACACCUACGGGUGGCAGCAGUCGAGAAUUUUUCACAAUGGGGGAAACCCUGAUGGAGCGACGCCGCGUGGGGGAUGAAGGGCUUCGGCUCGUAAACCCCUGUCAUUCGCGAAUAAUUGUUACAGUUGAACAAACUGUAGCUUGAUAGUAGCGGAAGAGGAAGGGACGGCUAAUUUUGUGCCAGCAGCCGCGGUAAUACAGAGGUCCCAAGCGUUGUUCGGAUUUACUGGGCGUAAAGGGUGCGUAGGCGGUAAGGAAAGUUCGGGGUGAAAUCUCCAGGCUCAACUUGGAAACUGCCCUGAAUACUUCCUUGCUAGAGGGUCGCAGAGGAGAUUGGAAUUCUCGGUGUAGCAGUGAAAUGCGUAGAUAUCGAGAGGAACAUCAGUGGCGAAAGCGAAUCUCUGGGCGACAACUGACGCUGAGGCACGAAAGCCAGGGGAGCAAACGGGAUUAGAUACCCCGGUAGUCCUGGCCCUAAACGGUGCGCACUUGC